CCCCCUUUUAUUCGUUAGUGCUUCUAGGUCUGACAAAGGCUUCGUUUAGCACAAGUCACUCGGAUUAACCUUGCCGUGCUUUCGCACAUUGCAAAGUUUUCUCGCCUGCUGCGCCCCGUAGGCCC
This 125-nucleotide ribosomal RNA is filed under the name unidentified archaeon. RNAcentral's name for it is "partial 16S ribosomal RNA". The record is from RNAcentral.